Molecule: Y RNA, 101 nt
Organism: Pongo abelii (Sumatran orangutan)
Lineage: Eukaryota; Metazoa; Chordata; Mammalia; Primates; Hominidae
Rfam family: Y RNA
About the family: Y RNAs are components of the Ro ribonucleoprotein particle (Ro RNP), in association with Ro60 and La proteins. The Y RNAs and Ro60 and La proteins are well conserved, but the function of the Ro RNP is not known.
Source: Ensembl
GGCUGGUUCAAGUGCGGUGAUGUUUACAACUAAUUGAUGACAACCAGUACAGAUUUCUUUGUUCCUUCUCUGCUCCCACUGCUUCGUUUGACUAGUGUUUA